CACAGUUCCUGCCUUCAAGAAGCUCUCACUCCAGACGUGUGGGGGAUGACCAAGUAAACAGUUAAUUACAGUACAAUAUGAGAGAAAGAGAGCACAAGCAGGGGGAGUGACAGACGGAGGCAGAGGGAGAAGCAGGCUCCCUAUGGAGCAGGGAGCCCAAUGUGGGGCUCAAUCCCAGGAGCCUGGGAUCAUGACCCAUGCUGGAGGCAGGUGCUUAACUGAUUGAACCACCCAGCACCCCUCAAAGCAAAUUUUUAAAACAUCUAAUAUUAAAGAAUUACUUUCUUCAUAUGAAAAUAGCAUUAAGGUGAAUUUUUAAAAAAGAUUUUAUUUAUUUAUUUGACACAGAGAGAGAGCACAAGUAGGCAGAGUCAGGUGGGGGCGGGCGGGAAGCAGGCUCCCCACUGAGCAGAGAGCCCAAUGCAGGGCUCAAUCCCAGGACCCCGAGAUCAUGUCCUGAGCUGAAGGCAGACGCUUAAUCCACUGAGCCACCCAGGUGCCCCUUAA
This 507-nucleotide long non-coding RNA is filed under the name Mustela putorius furo (domestic ferret). RNAcentral's name for it is "lncRNA (ENSMPUG00000030273.1)". The record is from RNAcentral. Lineage: Eukaryota; Metazoa; Chordata; Mammalia; Carnivora; Mustelidae.